Molecule: ribosomal RNA, 250 nt
Filed under: uncultured beta proteobacterium
Lineage: Bacteria; Pseudomonadati; Pseudomonadota; Betaproteobacteria
Description: partial 16S ribosomal RNA
Rfam family: Bacterial small subunit ribosomal RNA
Source: RNAcentral
GGUGAUGGGUGAGUAAUACAUCGGAACGUGCCUAGUUGUGGGGGAUAACUACUCGAAAGAGUGGCUAAUACCGCAUGAGAUCUAUGGAUGAAAGCUUGGGAGCUUCGGGCCUUGUGCUACUAGAGCGGCCGAUGGCAGAUUAGGUAGUUGGUGGGAUAAAAGCUUACCAAGCCAGCGAUCUGUAGCUGGUCUGAGAGGACGAUCAGCCACACUGGGACUGAGACACGGCCCAGACUCCUACGGGAGGCAG